RNAcentral lists this ribosomal RNA (158 nucleotides) under Trichoderma inhamatum. RNAcentral describes it as "5.8S ribosomal RNA". It matches the Rfam family "5.8S ribosomal RNA". Rfam says of the family: 5.8S ribosomal RNA (5.8S rRNA) is a component of the large subunit of the eukaryotic ribosome. Lineage: Eukaryota; Fungi; Ascomycota; Sordariomycetes; Hypocreales; Hypocreaceae. The record is from RNAcentral.
AAACUUUCAGCAACGGAUCUCUUGGUUCUGGCAUCGAUGAAGAACGCAGCGAAAUGCGAUAAGUAAUGUGAAUUGCAGAAUUCAGUGAAUCAUCGAAUCUUUGAACGCACAUUGCGCCCGCCAGUAUUCUGGCGGGCAUGCCUGUCCGAGCGUCAUUU